Molecule: unclassified non-coding RNA, 1533 nt
Filed under: Hevea brasiliensis (rubber tree)
Lineage: Eukaryota; Viridiplantae; Streptophyta; Magnoliopsida; Malpighiales; Euphorbiaceae
Source: RNAcentral
GAAGAAGAAGAAGAAGAACAAGAGUUUCCUCCGGGCAUUCAUUGCUCUUCUGGUAACGAAUAAAAACAGCAAUCGUCCAAAGUCCUUCCUUCACUCCUAUCCCUUACUCAGUCAAAGUCUUCCCUUUCAUCCUCUUCUUCCUCCUCAUUAACUUAUUUUAAGAACCCAUCACUCUGAUAACAGUGCCUGAACCUGCAACUCACUCAGAAAUGGAACUCCGAUCUCUUAUUUUCCCUCUUUUCUUCUCCUUUCUCUUCUCCAUUUCCGCUGCUCAAAUUACGCCCGGCUCCUCCCUGUCUGCUUCUAACCCAAACCAGACUUGGCUUUCCCCCAACACCACAUUUUUUGUGGGAUUUGUCCAGGUGGAUUCUGGCUAUGUCGCCGCCAUUAACUACUUUGGUGGUGUGCCAAUCUGGACCGCUGGUGGCCCUUCCGUUUCCGUUGAUGUUGAUGGAGCCUUUCAUUUCCGCUCUAAUGGUACUCUUCAACUCGUCAACGGCUCUGGUGCUGUCGUCUGGGACUCCAACACUAGCCAUCUUGGUGUGACCUCUGCCUCGCUGGAUGAUUCCGGCAAUUUAGUCCUUCGUAAUCGCAGUGGCUUUUCGGUGUGGUCGAGUUUUCAGAAUCCCACGGAUACCAUAGUCCCAGGUCAAAAUUUCACGGUAAAACAAGUUCUUAAAUCUGGUAUUUACUCAUUUCAGCUUCGUAAUUAUGGAAAUCUCACGCUGAGAUGGAAUGAUAGCAUAGAUUACUGGAAUCAAGGUUUGAAUUCAUCUGUUGGUUCUAAUUUGAGUUCGCCAGUUCUGGGAUUGCAGCCAAUUGGGAUUUUAUCCAUUUCUGAUUUAACUUUAACUAGUGCAUAUAUUGUGGUUUAUAGUAAUGAUUAUGCAGAAGGCACUGACAUAUUGAGGUUUUUAAAGUUGGACAGUGAUGGGAAUUUGAGGAUUUAUAGUUCUGCUUUAGGUAGUGGAACUACAACUAUGAGAUGGGCAGCUUUGGCUGAUCAGUGUCAAGUUUUUGGAUAUUGUGGGAACUUGGGGAUUUGUAGUUACAAUGAUUCGGGUUCGAAUCCCAUUUGUGGAUGUCCAUCUGAGAAUUUUGAGCCUGUUGAUGUGAAUGAUAGUAGAAAAGGGUGUAAAAGAAAGGUGGAGAUUGAGAAUUGUCCUGGGAGUGCAACUAUGUUGGAGAUGGAUCAUGCCAAGUUCUUGACCUACCAGCCUGAGAUAUCCUCUCAGGUUUUCUUUGUGGGAAUAUCAGCUUGUAGGUUGAAUUGUCUUGUUGGAAGUUCUUGUGCUGCCUCAACAUCUUUGUCGGAUGGAACUGGGUUGUGUUACUUAAAAACAUCAGACUUUGUUAGUGGUUAUCAGAACCCAUCACUUCCUAGUACUUCAUAUGUCAAGGUUUGUGGACCGGUGAAACCAAACCCUACACCUAAUUUGCAAAUUGAUGGAAAUAGCAAAAGUAGACUUCGGGUUUGGCUUCUUGUUGUUGUUGUUGUGGUUACCCUUGUUGGUUUGGUUGCUAUAGAGAGUG